GACGAACGCUGGCGGCGUGCCUAAUACAUGCAAGUAGGACGCAGUUGCGAACGUGUGAGUAACGCGUAGGUAACUGCCUAUUAGAGGGGGAUAACUAUUGGAAACGAUAGCUAAUACCGCAUACUAGUAGAUGGACCUGCGUUGUAUUAUCUAGUAGGUAGGGUAAUGGCCUACCUAGGAAACGAUACCUAGCCGACCUGAGAGGGUGGUCGGCCACACUGGGACUGAGACACGGCCCAGACUCCUACGGGAGGCAGCAGUAGGGAAUCUUCGGAAAUGGGGGGAACCCGUACCGAGCAACGCCGCGGGAGUGAAUAAGGUUUUCGGAUCGUAAAGCUCUGUUGUGAAGGAAGCGGUACUUAACCAGAAAGGGACGGCUAACUACGUGCCAGCCGCCGCGGUAAUUC
This 407-nucleotide ribosomal RNA is filed under the name uncultured bacterium. RNAcentral describes it as "partial 16S ribosomal RNA". It matches the Rfam family "Bacterial small subunit ribosomal RNA", at positions 28 to 526 of the family's 1533-position model. The record is from RNAcentral.